GAUUAAGGCUUAGUUGUUGUUGAUAUAUGGAUACAUAAUAUGCGAGUGACAGCAGAGAUAAAAAAAGAAUUAAAAUGAAAAAUCUACAAGUUAUGCAAGACAUAUAGAUGGAAACCAAGGCGGAACAGGGAGACUUUAAUAAUCAACUUGUGAAACCAAUACAAGUUUUAAAACCCAAUGGAAGAUAGAUUAAUACCCAAGACCAACUGCAAGU
RNAcentral lists this unclassified non-coding RNA (214 nucleotides) under Hevea brasiliensis (rubber tree). The record is from RNAcentral. Lineage: Eukaryota; Viridiplantae; Streptophyta; Magnoliopsida; Malpighiales; Euphorbiaceae.